RNAcentral lists this transfer RNA (54 nucleotides) under Ovis aries (sheep). Lineage: Eukaryota; Metazoa; Chordata; Mammalia; Artiodactyla; Bovidae. The record is from Rfam by way of RNAcentral.
UCCCUGGUGGCUCAGACGGUAGAGCGUCUGUCUGCAAUGCAGGAGACCAGGGAU